Molecule: ribosomal RNA, 239 nt
Filed under: uncultured bacterium
Lineage: Bacteria
Description: partial 16S ribosomal RNA
Rfam family: Bacterial small subunit ribosomal RNA
Source: RNAcentral
AUAUGGCGACAUAGAGCGGAACCCGAAACCUGUCUCAGUUCGGAUUGGAGUCUGCAACCCGACUCCAUGAAGCUGGAUUCGCUAGUAAUCGCGCAUCAGCCACGGCGCGGUGAAUACGUUCCCGGGCCUUGUACACACCGCCCGUCAAGCCAUGGAAGCCGGGAGUGCCUGAAGUGCGUGAGCGCAAGCAGCGCCCUAAGGUAAAACCGGUGACUGGGGCUAAGUCGUAACAAGGUAUC